AUUGAACGCUGGCGGUAUGCUUAACACAUGCAAGUCGAACGGCAGCGCGCCAAGUUUUUCCGGGCAACUGGAGAAACCGGUGGCGGCGAGUGGCGGACGGGUGAGUAACGCGUAGGAAUCUACUCCAAAGCGGGGGACAACCUGAGGAAACUCGGGCUAAUACCGCAUAUGUUCUACGGAAUAAAGCUGGGGACUGCUUCGGCAGCCUGGCACUUUGGAAUGAGCCUGCGUCAGAUUAGCUUGUUGGUAGGGUAAUGGCCUACCAAGGCAACGAUCUGUAGCUGGUCUGAGAGGACGAUCAGCCACACUGGGACUGAGACACGGCCCAGACUCCUACGGGAGGCAGCAGUGGGGAAUAUUGGACAAUGGGCGAAAGCCUGAUCCAGCAAUACCGCGUGUGUGAAGAAGGCCUUCGGGUUGUAAAGCACUUUCAGUAGAGACGAAAUGCUCAAGGUUAAUACCCUUGAGAGCUGACUUAACCUACAAAAGAAGCACCGGCUAACUCUGUGCCAGCCGCCGCCGUAACAC
Molecule: ribosomal RNA, 528 nt
Filed under: uncultured bacterium
Lineage: Bacteria
Description: bacterial SSU rRNA
Rfam family: Bacterial small subunit ribosomal RNA
Source: RNAcentral